GGCUAGAUAGCAUAAUGGCCAUGCAAAAGAUUGCAAAUCUUUAUAUAUCAGUUCGAAUCUGAUUCUAGCUUC
This 72-nucleotide transfer RNA is filed under the name Neogoniolithon spectabile. RNAcentral's name for it is "tRNA-Cys". It matches the Rfam family "tRNA". Rfam says of the family: Transfer RNA (tRNA) molecules are approximately 80 nucleotides in length. Their secondary structure includes four short double-helical elements and three loops (D, anti-codon, and T loops). The record is from RNAcentral. Lineage: Eukaryota; Rhodophyta; Florideophyceae; Corallinales; Spongitidaceae.